This 89-nucleotide small RNA is filed under the name Cloacibacterium normanense. Its description in RNAcentral is "Flavo-1 RNA". Lineage: Bacteria; Pseudomonadati; Bacteroidota; Flavobacteriia; Flavobacteriales; Weeksellaceae. The record is from RNAcentral.
AUUGCGCCCCGAGUUGAGCGGAAAUCCUUUUUUGCGCGGCAGCUUCGCUGCCGCGCAAAAAAGAUUGGGAGCGGAACGAGGAAUUUGGC